RNAcentral lists this ribosomal RNA (502 nucleotides) under uncultured Glomeromycotina. RNAcentral's name for it is "partial small subunit ribosomal RNA". It matches the Rfam family "Eukaryotic small subunit ribosomal RNA", at positions 591 to 1092 of the family's 1831-position model. The record is from RNAcentral. Lineage: Eukaryota; Fungi; Glomeromycota.
CCAAUAGCGUAUAUUAAAGUUGUUGCAGUUAAAAAGCUCGUAGUUGAAUUUCGGAAUCUGUCCGUCGGUCGGGCUUCACUGUCCGUACUGGUGUGAUGGGUUUCUACCUUCUGAAUAACCGGCAUGUCAUUAAUUUGGUGCGCCGGGGAAGCAGAACUAUUACCUUGAAAAAAUUAGAGUGCUUAAAGCAGGCUAUCGCCUGAAUAGAUUAGCAUGGAAUAAUAAAAUAGGACGGCAUGGUUCUAUUUUGUUGGUUUCUAGGAUCACCGUAAUGAUUAAUAGGGAUAGUUGGGGGCAUUAGUAUUCAAUUGUCAGAGGUGAAAUUCUUGGAUUUAUUGAAGACUAACUUCUGCGAAAGCAUUUGCCAAGGAUGUUUUCACUAAUCAAGAACGAAAGUUAGGGGAUCGAAGACGAUCAGAUACCGUCGUAGUCUUAACCAUAAACUAUGCCGACUAGGGAUCGGACGAUGUUAAUUUUUUAAUGACUCGUUCGGCGCCUUACG